CCUACGGGUGGCAGCAGUGGGGAAUAUUGCACAAUGGGGGCAACCCUGAUGCAGCGACGUCGCGUGAGCGAUGACGUAUUUCUGUAUGGUAAGCUCUAUCUGCAGGGGAGAAAGUCACGGUACCUGUGUAAGAAGCUCGGGUAAAAUAAGUGCCAGCAUCCGCUGGCAUACUGCUGGAGCAAGCGUUAACCGGAUUUACUGGGGGGAAAGGGGGCGUAGGCGGCAUGCCAAGUUUCGUGGGAAAUACCGGGGGUCAACCCCGGGUCUGCAUUGGAAACUGGCAGGCUGGAGUGCCGGAGAGGCAGGCGGAAUUCCUAGUGUAGCGGUGAAAUGCGUAGAUAUUAGGAGGAACACCAGUGGCGAAGGCGGCCUGCUGGACGGUGACUGACGCUGAGGCUCGAAAGCGUGGGGAGCAAACAGGAUUAGAUACCCCAGUAGUC
RNAcentral lists this ribosomal RNA (440 nucleotides) under uncultured bacterium. RNAcentral describes it as "partial 16S ribosomal RNA". It matches the Rfam family "Bacterial small subunit ribosomal RNA", at positions 338 to 795 of the family's 1533-position model. The record is from RNAcentral.